GAAACCUCCUACUUGAAAGUAAGUGGAGAGACCUCCUCUGUGCUCCCCUCUGAGAACAGGUUUCCAACAGUUUGAAUGAGGCCCAUGCACAUUGAGAAUAGAAAAAUAUUCCUGAAGUUGGAGAGUGCGAGGACAAACGGAGGAAACAGCAUCACUGGAGUUCUGUAUGGAGCCAGCGUAACCUGCCUUGUAAGCAGAGUUUUGAGAAAUGGCAUCUGCGUAGAGAAGACAAGACUGAGACUGACCGCGGGGGAAGGCACGAAAGCACUCUUUCUACCGGCGUGGAGAAUGUGCGCGUGCUCUGCUGCUAUGUUGUGAAGACCCAGGAGGGAAAUGAUUGUAGUGGAGAUAAGGGACCAACACGUCAGCACCGGCUUCCUCUUCGCCUGACAAUGCCCAGCGUUCCCCGGUGUGUGGGCGGCGCUGCUCCUGUUCGCGCAGUCUGUGCUGAAGGCAGAGCAGACCAUCUGCAGGUGCACUCUAGACAUCUACAAGGUCGGAAUGAGUGGAUCACGACUCUGCUUCUCCGUACACUUCUCUUGACCUUAACGUUCACUCAUAUUUUCCCUUCCCUGAGCCUUCUGAACAUAGUUUCAUCUUGAUUAAUUUUCCUUAAUGCCAUUCAUGUUAAUUGGAGAAAUUAUUAAAAUCUGAAAUGAAACCUAGUACUAUGUUUCUUCAGUGUGAAUUUCAAGUUAGAAUAUUUUAAAUUCAUGAAUCUCUCUGGUAAAAAUAAAAUAUUUUAUGUCC
This is a long non-coding RNA of Phyllostomus hastatus (greater spear-nosed bat), 750 nucleotides long. RefSeq lists it as uncharacterized. The record is from RefSeq and is a predicted model, not a curated record. The transcript has 5 exons. NCBI's taxonomy places the organism in Eukaryota, Metazoa, Chordata, Mammalia, Chiroptera, Phyllostomidae.